This 779-nucleotide ribosomal RNA is filed under the name uncultured Neocallimastigales. RNAcentral describes it as "partial large subunit ribosomal RNA". It matches the Rfam family "Eukaryotic large subunit ribosomal RNA", at positions 24 to 644 of the family's 3401-position model. Lineage: Eukaryota; Fungi; Neocallimastigomycota; Neocallimastigomycetes; Neocallimastigales. The record is from RNAcentral.
UACGACUACAUAUCAGGCAUAUCAAUAAGCGGAGGAAAAGAAACUAACUAGGAUUCCCUUAGUAACGGCGAGUGAAGCGGGAAGAGCUCAAAUUUGAAAUCUUCAAGGUUUUACCUUGACGAAUUGUAGUUUAAAGAAGUGUUUUCUGUUGGAGUUUUGGUAAAAGUUCUUUGGAAUAGGACAUCAUAGAGGGUGAGAAUCCCGUAUUUGACCAGUUAUUUUCCAGCUGUGUGAUACACUUUCAAAGAGUCGGAUUGUUUGGGAAUGCAGUCCAAAAUGGGUGGUAAAUUUCAUCUAAAGCUAAAUAUUGGCGAGGAGACCGAUAGCGAACAAGUACCGUGAGGGAAAGAUGAAAAGAACUUUUGAAAAGAGAGUUAAACAGUACGUGAAAUUGUCAAAAGGGAAGCGUUUGACACCAGUGUUGUUUUUCCGAAAAUCAAUUACGUAUGUUUUAGUUUUUGAGGAGUUAUGACUUCAUCGGCUUGCUCCUUUCUUUAUGAAACUUUCUUAAUGCACUUUUCGGUUAACAAGUCAACAUCAAUUUCUUUUGUUGUAAAAGGGUAUGAGGAAGGUGGCUUUCUUUUCGGAGAAAGUGUUUAUAGCCUUGUGCCUCUGCAAUCGGAGAGAUUGAGGUCUGCAGCGUAGAUCCUUCGGGGUUAGAUACGUUUGUGCUAAGUUAUAGCUUUUCAUAGACAACUUGUUGACUAUGUUUAGUCUUGUAGCUUACUCGCUGACGCUAUUUUACCUACGCUUAGGAUGUUGAAUCUGUGCGAGACUAC